RNAcentral lists this non-coding RNA (85 nucleotides) under Bacillus sp. cl115. The record is from RNAcentral. Lineage: Bacteria; Bacillati; Bacillota; Bacilli; Caryophanales; Bacillaceae. RNAcentral also lists the same sequence under 2 other names.
GAACGCCGUAUGCCCGGAAACGGGCGCGUACGGUGUGAAGUGGGGGAAAAGCUGGAGAUAAUCUCAAAGGCUUACCUAUCACUAU